AAAGAGGAGAAGCUGCUCAUUGAUGACAGACCAGGUGACUGGGAGUAUGUAAUCAAUGUUGUUGAUUCAAACACUAGCUGAUAGUAACCUUGCAGCAGGAGAGCAGCUGAACUCAGGUUUUCUGCAUCUUGUCUGAGUGCUUUAUCUACUUCUGUGCCCUUUGGAAAACUCGCUAGCUGUUUCCUGGACUCCUGAGCACACUGAUUCUGAAGAUGCUACCCAAAAUGCUCUGAGGAUAAUCUUUUUAACAUGGACAGAUUCACCAGGUGCUCCUGAGGUCUGUUGUUAUGCAAGCAGCUGUCUCUCAAAGGUCCCAGUUUCUCCACGGAUGGGAUUCCUCUUUCUACAAGGGCUGAGUAUCCUGAUUGCAUGAAUGAUAUGCAUAGAAACUCUCAUCACUUGAGGAGUCCAUUACGGAAUUAUAUCUUUAACUCACGUGCAAAACUAAUCAUAUGAAGAAUGUUCAUGCUGCAGUUGGUUGAGAAGAACAAUACAGUA
RNAcentral lists this long non-coding RNA (498 nucleotides) under Gallus gallus (chicken). The record is from RNAcentral. Lineage: Eukaryota; Metazoa; Chordata; Aves; Galliformes; Phasianidae.